RNAcentral lists this ribosomal RNA (506 nucleotides) under uncultured eukaryote. Its description in RNAcentral is "bacterial SSU rRNA". It matches the Rfam family "Eukaryotic small subunit ribosomal RNA", at positions 613 to 1121 of the family's 1831-position model. The record is from RNAcentral.
UUGCGGUUAAAAAGCUCGUAGUUGGAUUUCUGUUGAGAGCAGCGCGUCUACCUUUUGGGUAAGUAUGUUGCUUGGUCUCGGCAUCUUCGUGGGAAACGUUUCUGCGCUUGAUUGCGUGGGGCGGGGUUCACGACUUUUACUUUGAGGAAAUUAGAGUGUUCACGGCAGGCAUACGCCUUGAAUAUAUUAGCAUGGAAUAAUAACAUAGGGCUUACGGCCUAUUUUGUUGGUUUCUAGGCUGCAGGCAAUGAUUAAUAGGGACAAUUGGGGGCAUUCGUAUUAACGCGUCAGAGGUGAAAUUCUUGGAUUGCGUUACGACGAACUACUGCGAAAGCAUUUGCCAAGGAUGUUUUCAUUGAUCAAGAACGAAAGUAAGGGGAUCGAAGAUGAUUAGAUACCGUCGUAGUCUUUACCAUAAACUAUGCCAACUAAGAGAUGAGGCGUCGUUCUACUUUGACUCCGCUUCGCACCCUUAUGAGAAAUCAAAGUUUUUGGGUUCCGGGGGG